GUCCAGGUUGGCACAUUGAAUGCUCUGCUAUGGCUGGAACUAUUCUGGGAGAGUCGAUGGACAUUCAUGGAGGGGGAUUUGAUCUUCGAUUCCCCCACCAUGACAAUGAAUUGGCACAGUCUGAGGCAUACUUUGAAAAUGAUCACUGGGUUCGAUAUUUUUUGCACACUGGUCAUUUAACAAUUGCUGGCUGUAAAAUGUCUAAAUCUUUAAAAAACUUCAUUACUAUCAAAGAUGCGCUGAAGAAACAUACAGCACGACAUUA
Chelonoidis abingdonii (Abingdon island giant tortoise) is the source of this 265-nucleotide long non-coding RNA. RefSeq lists it as uncharacterized. Lineage: Eukaryota; Metazoa; Chordata; Testudines; Testudinidae. The record is from RefSeq and is a predicted model, not a curated record.